CGCACAUUGCGCCCGCUAGUAUUCUGGCGGGCAUGCCUGUUCGAGCGUCAUUUCAACCCCUCAAGCUCUGCUUGGUGCUGGGGCCCUACGUGCGCCGUAGGCCCCGAAUUACAGUGGCGGGCUCGCCGCGAUCCCGAGCGUAGUAGCACACACCUCGCUCUGGGGCUCCGCGGUGGGUGCCGGCCGUGAAAGCGACCAAUGUUAUCGUUGUAAACGCAAGGUUGACCUCGGAUCAGGUAGGAAUACCCGCUGAACUUAA
Molecule: unclassified non-coding RNA, 259 nt
Filed under: fungal sp.
Lineage: Eukaryota; Fungi
Description: partial contains 5.8S ribosomal RNA, internal transcribed spacer 2, and large subunit ribosomal RNA
Source: RNAcentral